This 394-nucleotide ribosomal RNA is filed under the name uncultured bacterium. RNAcentral's name for it is "bacterial SSU rRNA". It matches the Rfam family "Bacterial small subunit ribosomal RNA", at positions 28 to 423 of the family's 1533-position model. The record is from RNAcentral.
GACGAACGCUGGCGGCGUGCUUAACACAUGCAAGUCGAGCGGUAAGGCCCUUUCGGGGGUACACGAGCGGCGAACGGGCGAGUAACACGUGGGUGACCUGCCUUUAGCUCUGGGAUAAGCCUGGGAAACUGGGUCUAAUACCGGAUAUGACCCUAUGGCGCAUGUUGUGGGGUGGAAAGCCUUGUGCGGCUAGGGAUGGGCCCGCGGCCUAUCAGCUUGUUGGUGGGGUGAUGGCCUACCAAGGCGACGACGGGUAGCCGGCCUGAGAGGGCGACCGGCCACACUGGGACUGAGACACGGCCCAGACUCCUACGGGAGGCAGCAGUGGGGAAUCUUGCGCAAUGGGCGAAAGCCUGACGCAGCGACGCCGCGUGAGGGAUGACGGCCUUCGGUU